Pelobates cultripes (western spadefoot toad) is the source of this 247-nucleotide non-coding RNA. Lineage: Eukaryota; Metazoa; Chordata; Amphibia; Anura; Pelobatidae. The record is from the annotation of a GenBank genome assembly.
CCCCCCGCAGCAUAGCCCAGCUGCGUACAUUUCUAGGUUUAAUUUCUUACUGCCGUCCUUGGCUACGUUCUGUAGCAAUCUACAUGCAACCACUGCAUGAUUGUCUUGCCAACGAAAACAAACCAUUUACAUUAACUCAUUCGGCAGAAAAUGCCUUCUAUACCCUUAAGUUACUGGUAACGUCAGCUCUGGCACUGGAUCUCCCAGAUUAUAGAAAGAAUUUUAACCUGUUCUGUACUGAGCAAUC